GCGGAGCCCUGGCCCCCAGCUCCCCUGUCUGAUCUGUUAGCUAGCGAGCUGGGUCCCUGUUACCACGUUUACAAAGCGCUUGGCACACACAGGGAGAAGUUCCCUGGGGAGGUCUCAGUCCUUGCUGGCAGAGAGGCUGGCUCCUCCUGGCCUGCUGAGAGACCCUCUCUCUGGAAGAACAAAGCCUGUUCCUCCACGGCCACGCCCACAGGCGGAUUCUUUACCAGCUGAGUCACCAGGAAUCCCUAAAGAGGAUAUUGCUCCAUCACUAAUAAAACCUGAACAGCAGUUCUCAACUUUCCGUCUGCCUAAGAAUCAACUGGAAAUCUGUUAAAAUGCAGACUCCUGGGCCCCAGCUGCAGAUCUAGCAGGAUCUCUGAGAGUAAGGCCCAGGGAUUUGCAGCCCAAAGUCCACAGGUGUUUCAAGAAUGACACGUUCCAAGACUGCUGGGGAACAAUGUUUUUUUUUUUUUAAUUACUUUUGGCUGUUCUGGGUUUUUAAUGCUUUGCGGGGCUGUCUCUAGUUGCAGAGAGCAAGGGCUACUCUUCAUUGCUUGCACAGUCCUCCCAUCGUGGUGGCCUCUGUCCUUGAGGAACACAGGCUACAGGCUCCCAAGCCCUCAAGUGCCGGCUCAGUAGUUGUGGAGCACCGGGGCUUAGUUGCUUCAUGACAUGUGGAAUCUUCCCCCACCAGGGAUGGAACGUGCGUCCCCUGCACUGGCAGGCGGAUGCCUAGACACUGUGCCACCAGGGAAGUCCCAGAACAAUGUUUAAUAA
Long non-coding RNA from Bos taurus (domestic cattle), 777 nucleotides. The record is from Ensembl. NCBI's taxonomy places the organism in Eukaryota, Metazoa, Chordata, Mammalia, Artiodactyla, Bovidae.